UUCCGGUUGAUCCUGCCGGAGGCCACUGCUAUGGGAGUCCGACUAAGCCAUGCGAGUCCAAGGGGGGUUUGCCACCGGCGGACGGCUCAGUAACACGUGGACAACCUGCCCUCGGGAGGGGGAUAACCCCGGGAAACUGGGGCUAAACCCCCAUAGGGCAUAGGUGCUGGAAUGCCCUAUGUCCGAAAUUCCGAAAGGAGCCCGAGGAUGGGUCUGCGGCCUAUCAGGUUGUAGUGGGGGUAACGGCCCCACUAGCCUACGACGGGUACGGGCCCUGGGAGGGGGAGCCCGGAGAUGGACUCUGAGACAAGAGUCCAGGCCCUACGGGGCGCAGCAGGCGCGAAACCUCCGCAAUGCGGGAAACCGCGACGGGGGGACUCCCAGUGCCUACGCUUUGCGUUAAGGCUGUUCCCGGAGCCUAAAAAGCUCCGGGAAUAAGGGCUGGGCAAGACGGGUGCCAGCCGCCGCGGUAAUACCCGCAGGCCGAGUGGUGGCCACUUUUAUUGGGCCUAAAGCGUCCGUAGCCGGGCCGGUAAGUGCCUGGGUAAAUCUUGGGGCCAAACCUCACGAAUUCCCGGGAGACUGCCGGGCUUGGGAACGGAGAAAGUGAGAGGUACUCCAGGGGUAGGGGUGAAAUCCUGUAAUCCCUGGAGGACCACCCGGGGCGAAAGCGCUCCUCCAGGACGGGUCCGACGGUUAAGGACGAAAGCCAGGGGAGCAAACCGGAUUAUAUACCCCGGUAGUCCUGGCCGUAAACGAUGUGGACU
RNAcentral lists this ribosomal RNA (767 nucleotides) under uncultured archaeon. Its description in RNAcentral is "bacterial SSU rRNA". It matches the Rfam family "Archaeal small subunit ribosomal RNA", at positions 1 to 768 of the family's 1478-position model. The record is from RNAcentral.